AGUGAACGCUGGCGGUAGGCCUAACACAUGCAAGUCGAACGGCAGCACAGUAAGAGCUUGCUCUUACGGGUGGCGAGUGGCGGACGGGUGAGGAAUACAUCGGAAUCUACUUUUUCGUGGGGGAUAACGUAGGGAAACUUACGCUAAUACCGCAUACGACCUACGGGUGAAAGCAGGGGAUCUUCGGACCUUGCGCGAUUGAAUGAGCCGAUGUCGGAUUAGCUAGUUGGCGGGGUAAAGGCCCACCAAGGCGACGAUCCGUAGCUGGUCUGAGAGGAUGAUCAGCCACACUGGAACUGAGACACGGUCCAGACUCCUACGGGAGGCAGCAGUGGGGAAUAUUGGACAAUGGGCGCAAGCCUGAUCCAGCCAUACCGCGUGGGUGAAGAAGGCCUUCGGGUUGUAAAGCCCUUUUGUUGGGAAAGAAAAGCAGCAGGUUAAUAUCCCGCUGUUCUGACGGUACCCAAAGAAUAAGCACCGGCUAACUUCGU
This 491-nucleotide ribosomal RNA is filed under the name uncultured bacterium. RNAcentral's name for it is "partial 16S ribosomal RNA". It matches the Rfam family "Bacterial small subunit ribosomal RNA", at positions 29 to 506 of the family's 1533-position model. The record is from RNAcentral.